GCUACAGGCUUAACACAUGCAAGUCGAGGGGCAGCAUGGUCUUAGCUUGCUAAGGCCGAUGGCGACCGGCGCACGGGUGAGUAACACGUAUCCAACCUGCCGUCUACUCUUGGACAGCCUUCUGAAAGGAAGAUUAAUACAAGAUGGCAUCAUGAGUCCGCAUGUUCACAUGAUUAAAGGUAUUCCGGUAGACGAUGGGGAUGCGUUCCAUUAGAUAGUAGGCGGGGUAACGGCCCACCUAGUCUUCGAUGGAUAGGGGCUCUGAGAGGAAGGUCCCCCACAUUGGAACUGAGACACGGUCCAAACUCCUACGGGAGGCAGCAGUGAGGAAUAUUGGUCAAUGGGCGAGAGCCUGAACCAGCCAAGUAGCGUGAAGGAUGACUGCCCUAUGGGUUGUAAACUUCUUUUAUAAAGGAAUAAAGUCGGGUAUGGAUACCCGUUUGCAUGUACUUUAUGAAUAAGGAUCGGCUAACUCCGUGCCAGCAGCCGCGGUAAUACGGAGGAUCCGAGCGUUAUCCGGAUUUAUUGGGUUUAAAGGGAGCGUAGAUGGAUGUUUAAGUCAGUUGUGAAAGUUUGCGGCUCAACCGUAAAAUUGCAGUUGAUACUGGAUAUCUUGAGUGCAGUUGAGGCAGGCGGAAUUCGUGGUGUAGCGGUGAAAUGCUUAGAUAUCACGAAGAACUCCGAUUGCGAAGGCAGCCUGCUAAGCUGCAACUGACAUUGAGGCUCGAAAGUGUGGGUAUCAAACAGGAUUAGAUACCCUGGUAGUCCACACGGUAAACGAUGAAUACUCGCUGUUUGCGAUAUACUGCAAGCGGCCAAGCGAAAGCGUUAAGUAUUCCACCUGGGGAGUACGCCGGCAACGGUGAAACUCAAAGGAAUUGACGGGGGCCCGCACAAGCGGAGGAACAUGUGGUUUAAUUCGAUGAUACGCGAGGAACCUUACCCGGGCUUAAAUUGCAGAUGAAUUACGGUGAAAGCCGUAAGCCGCAAGGCAUCUGUGAAGGUGCUGCAUGGUUGUCGUCAGCUCGUGCCGUGAGGUGUCGGCUUAAGUGUCAUAACGAGCGCAACCCUUGUUGUCAGUUACUAACAGGUUCCGCUGAGGACUCUGACAAGACUGCCAUCGUAAGAUGUGAGGAAGGUGGGGAUGACGUCAAAUCAGCACGGCCCUUACGUCCGGGGCUACACACGUGUUACAAUGGGGGGUACAGAGGGCCGCUACCACGCGAGUGGAUGCCAAUCCCCAAAACCUCUCUCAGUUCGGACUGGAGUCUGCAACCCGACUCCACGAAGCUGGAUUCGCUAGUAAUCGCGCAUCAGCCACGGCGCGGUGAAUACGUUCCCGGGCCUUGUACACACCGCCCGUCAAGCCAUGGGAGCCGGGGGUACCUGAAGUGCGUAACCGCGAGGAGCGCCCUAGGGUAAAACUGGUGACUGGGGCUAAGUCGUA
RNAcentral lists this ribosomal RNA (1447 nucleotides) under uncultured organism. RNAcentral describes it as "SSU rRNA". It matches the Rfam family "Bacterial small subunit ribosomal RNA". The record is from RNAcentral.